This 1481-nucleotide long non-coding RNA is filed under the name Homo sapiens (human). RNAcentral describes it as "HSALNT0031343". The record is from RNAcentral. Lineage: Eukaryota; Metazoa; Chordata; Mammalia; Primates; Hominidae.
GUUUAUAUAAAAUAUCAAGUUAUACCAGCUAUCCCAUGCAUGAUUUCUACAGAUGUCAUACUUGUAACACCACAGAUCGAAAUGCCAUAUGUGUGAACUGCAUUAAGAAGUGCCAUCAGGGACAUGAUGUAGAGUUUAUUAGACAUGAUAGGUAUGUUUUUCUGUGACUGUGGUGCUGGAACACUGUCUAAUCCUUGUACAUUAGCUGGUGAGCCUACACAUGAUACAGAUACACUAUAUGACUCUGCUCCACCUAUAGAAUCUAAUACAUUGCAGCACAACUGAAUUCCUUCCCUAAAGAAAAAGUCCUGCCAUUGUAACAUCAUAACUUAAAACACUUUUUUGGAAGAAGAUUUAAAAUAUUUGCCCAUGCUACAGGAAGAGACUGUAUUAAAAAUGGAUACACAAGGUCAGUUGACACUAUGAAGCUCAAGCUACCAAAAAGAAAGUGGCAAUAUAUUGACUCAGGAUCUCAAAGCUGGGUGUUUUAGCAUUACUGUGUAAAGACUUGAAGGGACAGAAGUGAAGAAAAUAAGCUGCAAUUUUGUACAGAUACCAACUUCUGAAAAGCUGGUGUUUUUACAACUAGCAUUGAAUGCAGUCCAAUUUGCAGUAGUAAUCUUCAAUAGACAAGCAGCUUUGUUGCUGCCUUUAUGGACAUGGGUACCAAUUGCUUUUGUAAUAUGGUAAAAAUGUGAGCUAGCACUUCUGCGUUCCUUUUGAUUUUUUUUUUUUAACAUGUAUUCAGAUUGAGAAAUAUGAUUUUAAUGCUUUAAUCUCAUGUAGUUUGUUUUUAAUUUCAAGCAAAAUCUUACUGUACUUGAAUGUGCCCUGUUUUGUUAGCACACCUAGACUUGCUGUAACUGUACUCAUGUCCCAGUAUGUACGUUCUUUCUAUGAAAGAGAAAACACUAAUCUUAAAUUAUAUCCAGCAAUGUUUCUGGUAUCCUUUAAGAAAAGUUAAGACUAUUAUUUCCUUCCCUUCCCUGUGCAGCAUUCAAAAUCACCCCUAGAAAAAGUGAGUGUUUUAAUGAGACUUCCUAGGAAGGGAUGCACUGUAAAACAAAAGUAUUCUUGUAACUCAGUUUUGUGAAAGGUAAAAAACUACUAUGUUUUAAGUACACUUUAGAAAGUCUCUUCAAAACAAACAGUCCUGUAUUUGAACUCUGUUCAUAGUUUUUUUUUGAACAGUUUAGACAAAACUGCUGGAAAUUAAACCAAUUUCCUGCAUUAAGCUGAGACAAGUAUAUAUACAGCCCUAUACAGUUUCAUAGCUUUUCCUCCCCCAUUUAUGUGUAUUGGUGACAGUGGGUAUAAAACAGCCUGAAAGUGUAUGCAUGUACCAUAACAUCUAGACUUAAUAUAUUGUGGAGUAUUCAAUAACCAUUAUGUAGAAGGUAGAUAAGAAUUAAAAGGGUUUAAUUUCCUAGAAAGAAAAUGGAAAAAUGGUCAUUUUUAAAAAAUAAAGUUUAUUAGAUCAU